This is a long non-coding RNA of Papaver somniferum (opium poppy), 1289 nucleotides long. RefSeq lists it as uncharacterized. The record is from RefSeq and is a predicted model, not a curated record. NCBI's taxonomy places the organism in Eukaryota, Viridiplantae, Streptophyta, Magnoliopsida, Ranunculales, Papaveraceae. The transcript is spliced from 6 exons.
UGCCGUCAUCCCAAAAAUACUUAUUUGGAAGUUUGAUAAGUUUAUUCGGGAGGGGGUUCUGUACUCUAUGCAUAAACUACACUUCACAACUGCUAAACCGAAGUUCCGUCCUGCGCACAAUGAGAAGCAGUCCUUCUUCCGGAGCACCAUCUCCAUCACUGCUUUGGAUGCCUAUUCCGUGCCCAUUAUUCCGCAGAGAAGACAUAGAAUUGAACCUCCAAAACAUACAUCUUACAGAUGUGGUUGGUUUCUUAAAAGGAGUCACCAACAUCCAGGUGCUUCAAAGGUCCGGUGGGGAAUCAAGCCGAAUGCGCGAGAUCACAAUUGAAAAGCUCAGCCCACACACAACAACUCAGAUUACUCGCAGCCGGCCUAUACAAGGUAUCACCAUCAAUCACUCAAGACAACUUUAAAAGUUUUCAUCCUCCGGACGAAUACAAAUCAUACUGCCUCGCACUUUGAGUUACACAGUAUCGAGACGAGUUGGAUUUGUCUACCAAUGAUGUCACUAGCAUCGAUGUAUUUCAUUGAUGAACAGGAGGAGAAUUGCAUGCGGUUAAUCCCAAAAGUCUUCUUUGGGAAUUUGACAAGCUCAGCCGUGAAGGCAGCCUUAAUAUUAUUGAGAAUUUGCGUUUGACCAUUGCUAAACCCAAGAACAUGAGACUCGGAAGCACCGACCCUGAAAAUGUACAAUUUGCAGAAUUCCUAGUGGAGGUGGGACACAACCCAAAGGAAAACGUGGAAUUGCCAUCUUCCCUUCAUAGAUGCGUGGAUCUAAACCAUCUGAUAUCUGAAAUAUAUCCGGGAAUACGAGAACACAAAAUACCGUCCGCGCAGUAUCUGACGGAGAGAACCAUUCGGUCGACUAGAAAUGAGGACGUGGCAAAAGUAAACGAGAGGAUUUUACAGAUGUACCGGGGAAAGGAGUACACGUAUCUGGAGGCAGACAAGGUGGCAGAGACUAAAGUGAAGGGAGCGGUUGGUUUCUCUGGGUGUCCAACUGAAUCACUGAAUACGUUAAAUCAAUCCUUCCUGCCACCCUUUAAGUUGGAACUCAAAGUUGGUUGUCCAAUUAUGAUGCCAAGGAAUAUAGCUCCGAAAGAUGGCCCUUGUAACGGAACAAGAUUUUUUUUAUGAUGGGUUUGGAUGCAGAAUUUUAAAGGUGGCAUUUAUGGGUCCAUGGAAUUUGGUGGAAUUAUGUUUUUUUCGGCAUGUUUGGUUUCCAAAUCCCUGGAAUCACUUUCCAAUAGAAAUCAGUUUUCCAGCAAAUCCUCCAUAUGGAAUUCGAC